Non-coding RNA from Chromobacterium sp., 87 nucleotides. The record is from Rfam. Lineage: Bacteria; Pseudomonadati; Pseudomonadota; Betaproteobacteria; Neisseriales; Chromobacteriaceae.
AUUUAUGGCGGGCCGUGGUGGGAGUGUCGCGAGACACGCCGGAGGAGAUGCCGGUAACGCCAAUCCCGCCAUGCGCCUGCCACCCCC